CCUAUAUUCAUGAGAAUAUACUAAUAUUUUGUAAAUAUAAUUUAUAUAAAUUUUUAUAAACUGGUAUUUUGUGUUGUGUGUUAUGUAUAUUAAAUUCUUGGUCAGUGAUCUUUUUAGGGUGUCAUUUGUUGAUAGUAAUCUGCUUUUUAUAAUUUUAACAAACUGCUUCCCUCCUGGAAAAGUUGAGUAAUAUAAAUAUAAUAAUUUCUCAUUGACUUUAUGAUUUCAUAGAUGCUUUAUCUUCAUUUCUGAUCAUUACUUGACAGUUCUUUAAAUUCUUAGCUUUCUCUGUUCAUAAGCCUUCCCAUCAUGUAUUAAAUAAUGAAACUUAAAGGUGAAUACUUUCAUAAUGUAAAUUGUUUUCUAAUUUAUUUUUCAUAUGGAUUU
Molecule: long non-coding RNA, 387 nt
Filed under: Homo sapiens (human)
Lineage: Eukaryota; Metazoa; Chordata; Mammalia; Primates; Hominidae
Description: non-protein coding lnc-KIAA1468-1:2
Source: RNAcentral